UGCAGUCGAGCGAGCUUUCGGGCUUAGCGGCGGACGGGUGAGUAACGCGUGGGAACGUGCCCUUUGGUACGGAAUAGUCCUGGGAAACUGGGUUUAAUACCGUAUAUUCUCUACGGAGGAAAGAUUUAUCGCCAAAGGAUCGGCCCGCGUUGGAUUAGGUAGUUGGUGGGGUAAUGGCCUACCAAGCCGACGAUCCAUAGCUGGUUUGAGAGGAUGAUCAGCCACACUGGGACUGAGACACGGCCCAGACUCCUACGGGAGGCAGCAGUGGGGAAUCUUAGACAAUGGGGGCAACCCUGAUCUAGCCAUGCCGCGUGAUCGAUGAAGGCCUUAGGGUUGUAAAGAUCUUUCGCUGGGGAAGAUAAUGACGGUACCCAGUAAAGAAGCCCCGGCUAACUCCGUGCCAGCAGCCGCGGUAAUACGGAGGGGGCUAGCGUUGUUCGGAAUUACUGGGCGUAAAGCGCGCGUAGGCGGAUUGGAAAGUUGGGGGUGAAAUCCCGGGGCUCAACCCCGGAACUGCCUCCAAAACUAUCAGUCUGGAGUUCGAGAGAGGUGAGUGGAAUUGCGAGUGUAGAGGUGAAAUUCGUAGAUAUUCGCAGGAACACCAGUGGCGAAGGCGGCUCACUGGCUCGAUACUGACGCUGA
RNAcentral lists this ribosomal RNA (645 nucleotides) under bacterium SL4.1. RNAcentral describes it as "bacterial SSU rRNA". It matches the Rfam family "Bacterial small subunit ribosomal RNA", at positions 56 to 749 of the family's 1533-position model. The record is from RNAcentral.